Rhineura floridana is the source of this 2404-nucleotide long non-coding RNA. RefSeq lists it as uncharacterized. The record is from RefSeq and is a predicted model, not a curated record. Lineage: Eukaryota; Metazoa; Chordata; Lepidosauria; Squamata; Rhineuridae. The transcript has 3 exons.
UGGGUCAGCAGCUGUAAUUAGAUGAGACUGAAUGCAGGCAAAUUAGGUCCUGAAGGAGGACCAGCUUAUACAGGGAGCCGUCGAGCGGACCCUCCAGCCGCAUAGGGACCUCCAGCGGAUGGCAGCCACGUAACGACAGACGAGUGUUAGCGCCGUUCUCCACCACCACCUCAGUCUCCUGAUAUAGAGGUCCCAGACCCAAAUCGAACAUCGGAACCAUCAUGCCAUUUAGUGUCGGGGAUAUCAUCGGAGAUGCGUACUCUUCAUAUAAAUUAGGUUUCUCCAUCGACAUUAUCUGAAGGCGUUACCAUUUUUCAAACACACAAAUAAGAGAGAUAGCUGUGCCUUUUCCCUAACCUGGGGGGGGGGGUUCCCACCUCACAUAUUCCUUUGUCUGCUGCCUAUAGAGCCCCAUGUUCACACCUGAAAGACUUCGGUAUACACACACACAACUUUGCAGACAGAUGUCAGGACUGUGGAAUCUGCUUUGUCUAGAACCCCACAAUCCACCAAAUGGAACCAGGAGCCAAGGACAUUUAGAAUUAAAGAAUGCUGAGCUUAGGAAUUUGUCCCGAGCCCUAGAAGUACAGUAAAUUCAGCUCACACUCCUCCCACACAAAAAUUCACUCUUCAUUACCCCUUCCCCCUGGCCACACCAGCAUUACUCAUUUUAGCACUAUAAUGCAGACAGCAGGGAUCAUUCUGUUGUUGCCAGCGUUAAACAAUUGAGAAGCAGAAAUCAUUCAUAGAUCUACCAGUGGCAGUGUGUAUGGGGUCACUCUGGGAGCACUGGCAAAUAUAAUUGGGGCACCUUUGCAAUCCUUGCCAUGUUGUGAGUGUACCAGAAGCUACAAGGAGUAAUGUGCAACAUCCUGUGUGUGUACUGAUGUUUUUUAGGCAUGUGCAUAGCAGCUCAGAUAAGGGUCACCAUAAUUACACAUGUUACAAUGGCUCCAUGUAUAGGCCUCAGAUUUAGGUACAGAUAAGAUAUUAGACAAUCCCAACUAUGGCCAUAUUCACACCAUACAUUUAUUCCACUAUCAUUUGACUUUAAACAGUUAUGGCUUCCCCCCAAGAAUCUGUUAGUUUAUGAGAGGUGCUGAGCGUUGUUAAGAGAACCUUGUUCUCUUCAUAGAGCUACAAUUCUCCAAGUUCUUUGGGAAGAGAGACUGACUUGUUAAACUACUCUGGCAUGCAAAAACAUCACAGAACCGAAAUAGGUUGAUUGGUCCACCUCUAGCUGCAGUCUGAUUUGAAGCUUCAGUCAUUCCUGUGGAUGAUCACUUUGGGUCCUCUAGAUAUCUGAACUAAGCCAUAGUCUAUGAUAGCUUAGACAUUAUAAUGACAAAUGUAUGAAUCCUUUUCUACAAAAUUUCAAAAUAAAUCCCCCUGACAUCAAGAUGAUGCACUCAGUAGAAUUAUCCGUUUCUUCAUGUACUGUUGAAAUUGUCGUAGUUUGAUUAUACUAGGGAGGAUAUGAAAUUCUGAAACAUUUCCCAUUCAACUCACAUUCAACAACAUGCAUAUAUUCAUCAAAGAAUCAAUAUACCUCACAUUGGAAUUUCAUGUAUGAAUGAUACAAAGCAUGUAUUCCUGUUGAAGUUUUAAAACACCAGAAAUGUGUUGAAGGUAUUUAAGGUAACCAAAGUGAGGUUUCCCCUCUGGGACUGGUUGGACUAGUUUUGUCAACUCUAACAUUUAUUAAUUUGGCUUUGUGAGAUAACCUUUAUCCAAAAGGAACCCACAGAGAAUGAUUUUUGCCCUCAUAAUGUUACUGUGAGGUGCCUAUAAAUCUGGCAAACUGGUGUCUUGUGAGUACUUUGGAUAUUGAGAACAUGAAGCAAAACUGAGUGCUUCACACUGUCAAAGUACCCAGGAGGUGCUUUUCUAACAGUGCAAUAAGGCUAAGGCUAUAGUGUAUAAUGUACCACAGUCCAGUCCAUGCAUCCCAUCAGAUAGGUGACAAUAUUUGCAUGGUGGAGGGUAAGGGAUGUAGUGCUUCACGCCCCUCUGCGCAGGGCAUUCACGGAACUCAGGUUCCAAAUGAUGCCUUCGGCUCAUCUGGAUGGGAGAUACCUGGGAAUCCCGACCAAGGACCAGAGAUGUGUCUAUGGGUGUAACCAGACUGAGGACAUCGCCCAUUAUUUGUUACACUGCCCCCUGUAUGAGGACCCUAGAAGGAAAUUUCUAGCUCAUUACAUCUGUAUGUAUGUCCACACUGGGGAAAAUUCCCAGGACCUGGUAGUCGAACUUUUAGCCAACAACUGUAAACAAACAACAGUUGCAGUGGCCAACUUCGCCUUGGCCGCUAGGAAGCUACAGGCGAGCCAUAUUAAGAUUUAUAAUGUUUUAUGAUUAUCUAAACUGGAACUACUUUUAGCCUCCUCGACAUUUAUUUGUAUCU